AUUUCAAUGCCUCUGGUUAUAUUUUGCUUACUUGUCUGUUUUGUUGAUUAGGUUCCACUUAAAGGUGAGAUCAUAAGGUAUUUGUCCCUCACCACCUGGCUUAUUUCACUUAGCAUAAUGUUUGAUCAUUGAGUAAGUGCUUUUCUAACUUAGCUGAAUUCCCAGCUAAGUAGUACUCACAUUUCCAUGUGUGUAAGAAGCAUCUUGCCUGUCUAUUGAUAUGCAGAUUCUAGCAUCCUUCCUCUACCCUGUUCUGAUUUAGUGUAUUUGAGGUCAGGCCCAAUAUAUAUUUUCUUUACCUACCAACACAUAGUGUUGUAGGACAGCUAGUAGAACUGUAUUUUUCUGAAGAUAGAAUAGAAAUGGCAUGCAUGCUUAUGUCUGGACAAGAAAUAUGAGGUGAUUUGUUGAAAGUUUUCAUUUCUUUGAAAUUAAUGUUCUACCUGAAAAAAAUGAAUCUUAUAGUUUUCUUUAACCUCUACCAAAAAUUCAGGUUAAACUCCAAUAAAUUAAAUUUCCACUUAGCCAUGGGGUAUAUUUUUCAUGAAAAUAAACUUAUUUAAUAUGAAAAAGAUUGUUAAAAUGUAUGUUAUAGUGGGGCAAAGUGUUGUUAUGAUUGAUAAUAUACAUUGCAUGAUCCAACUCUUAUAUGAAAUGUUUGUAUGCAAAGAUCUUCCUCACUGACUUUGAACAUUGUAGAUUAAGGGAAGGGAGCAGCUAAAAGAGCAAAUUAGAUAUUUCUUCCCAAGGGGUACAUGCACUAUUUAUAGAAAAAAAUAGGAAAAUUAUAUCUAUGUUACAUCUAUUUGGCAAAAUAUUUUAUUUAUGUGAAAAAUGAUUUGAAAAAUAUUUUCUUAAAAUACUGUACUAGUAAUAAGUUUAUAUUUAUCUUAUAAAUUUUAUUUGUAUAUACUUAAAUAUCGGUAAACUAUCUGUUAGGGAGAUAAUCUCUACCAUUUUAUAAUUCACUUAUUGAAACACCAUGAAUACUAACAAUUUACCACAGGCCAAAACGCUAGAUGUUUGUACGGACAGCAAAUAACAAGAGAGGAAUUUAUGUGCACUAAUGUUUGUUUUGAAUAUUAUCCAAGAGUCCUGGGUGAGAUGUUGGAUACAGUAGCCUCUGUAUAAAUGUGCUUGUUUGAGUAUCUAGUUGGAACUCUGGAUUUGCCCUUAAUAAAAUCUCAGUGGAAAAAAACCCUCUUUUUUGCAACUAUGAAUAGGAAAUAACAGGAAGAUGUCCAGCGAAUUGUUCGACCUCUGGAGGCUGAUUAAUUAAAUAGUUUUAUUAUCAUCUAAUAAAAGAUUCCCAGUAUGCUGUUUGCCGUUUCGUGUUCUGAAAGCAUAACAAAAACGGAAAAUAAGGUUGAAGCAAAAGUGGGUUUACAGUUGUCCAUAUGAAAAUAAUAUAAUAAUUAAUAGUAAAAGAAUGAACUCCGUAUUUCACGUACUCACAACUGUAAACCUACUUCUGCCCCACCCUCUGUUAUUUGUUGCAUCUCCUGUCCUGUGCAGGUGGUAUCAUGUGUCGUUGGUCUGUCGGUGAAUCCUGUGCUCAGGUGCCAGGCAGAAAUCCUGAUGACAUCUGGAGAGCACACGUCUUAA
This is a long non-coding RNA of Phyllostomus discolor (pale spear-nosed bat), 1605 nucleotides long. RefSeq lists it as uncharacterized. Lineage: Eukaryota; Metazoa; Chordata; Mammalia; Chiroptera; Phyllostomidae. The transcript has 3 exons. The record is from RefSeq and is a predicted model, not a curated record.